This 504-nucleotide long non-coding RNA is filed under the name Pan troglodytes (chimpanzee). RNAcentral's name for it is "long non-coding RNA NONPTRT009135". Lineage: Eukaryota; Metazoa; Chordata; Mammalia; Primates; Hominidae. The record is from RNAcentral.
UUGUGCUGCCAGUGUACAAAGAUGGGGUCAGCUCUCGCUCCUUCAAGUUCUUCCAAGUAGUCUAUGCUUGGCUUCCUUUUGGAGGUUUCCAGAUAUUCUUUUAACGGAUACAUGACUUACUGGGGAGGGGACAGUUUUAGAUUUUUAAUCUCUAUAUGUAUAUCUCUAACUUUUAUUUCAAAUAUACAAGAUACAUUAGUGUGUGGGAAGAGGGUGUAUGUUUGAUGUUUACAUAAGAAGUGGUAUCCAAGGUGGGUACCGGUUGAAUUGUGACCUUAUGUGUCAUUUAUUACAACUGGAGUGAGCCUUUCAGGUGAGCAGAUUGUUUGAGGGGAGUUAGAGUCCUUACAUAUGUCAUCAGCACAACAUUUUCACAGACUGCUGGGCAGAAUUUAGACAGCUUGAGGAAGUGAUGACAAUGGCUGGAAGAAGAGUAGAAAGGGAGAGACACAGGGACUCCAGAGAGCUCUCUCACCCUCUUUCUGCCAUGAGAGGAAACAGCAA